Long non-coding RNA from Carassius auratus (goldfish), 502 nucleotides. RefSeq lists it as uncharacterized. The transcript has 3 exons. The record is from RefSeq and is a predicted model, not a curated record. NCBI's taxonomy places the organism in Eukaryota, Metazoa, Chordata, Actinopteri, Cypriniformes, Cyprinidae.
GUCUGUGACAGGAAGUGGGCAAGUUGUUCAGCGCAUUUAGAGCAGGGCGACCAGGAGCAGAACCAGGUCACUGCGUAACACAUUCUCGCACCGUCCACACUGGAGCCCCACAGCCCCGGACACAACGCACCCAAGUGACUUCAUCUUUGCCUCACCUCUACAUGGCAGCCGGAGCGAUUGCGCAGGUGUCCGAAGUCAAAGGACAGGGAAUCAGGACCGGUGCGUCUCUUUACUACAAAACAAAGUCACUCGACUUCACCCUCUCAUGCACUCUGCGGCCAGGGAAAUCACCGCUCCCCAAUGAGCUCCCUCUCAAGUGUAUGUGUGUGUAUGUCUGCAUUCGAACAUCUGGAAGAGAUCUGUCUGCUCCCAUGAUUUACCUUCCGACCACAAGUCUUUCUGAGGUCUUACCACUAUGCGCUAUGUGUGUAUAACAUGGGAAAACAGAGAAAAGAAUAUACUGUAGGUUCUGUUCCCAUUAAAGCUGAUUCUCAUGAUGUUU